Molecule: small nuclear RNA, 105 nt
Organism: Mastomys coucha (southern multimammate mouse)
Lineage: Eukaryota; Metazoa; Chordata; Mammalia; Rodentia; Muridae
Source: RefSeq, a predicted model, not a curated record
AUUCCCUUUGACAGCAUAUAUAAUAAAAUUGAAAUGACACAGAGAAGAUUAGCAUGCCUCCUGCACAAGGAUGACAUGCAAAUUCCUGAAAUGUUACAUAUUUUU